AUGCAAGUCGAAGAAGGAUUGGUCGUGCUGCCGGCUGGCGUCAAGUUCGAUCCCACGGAUCAGGAGCUGAUCGAGCACCUUGAGGGCAAAGUGACUGCUGACAGCGCGAGAUCUCACCCUCUCAUCGAUUUGUUCAUACCAACCAUCGAGAGCGAGCACGACAUAUGCUACACCCAUCCUGAGAAACUUCCAGGUAUCACACUGAGUGGCCUAAGCAAGCAUUUCUUCCAGCGCAAUUCCAGGGCGUUCAAAAGGGGCACAUGGACACGUCGCAAGAUACAGUCGGAGUGCGGCAUGCACGCGAUGUGGCACAACACCGGCAAUACCUUGCCGAGGAUCAACUGGGUGAUGCACCAGUACCACCUUGGGGACCUGGAGCAAGAGAAGGAGCGGGAGCUGGUCCUCUGCCAGAUUUUCUACCAGACGAACACUAGGGCCAGGAGUAAAAAGAUUAUAAGUCGAGCAAGUUUCAACUGGGUUGUAGACUUCCCAAGCUUGGUUUUGUUUUUAACAGGCCUAGCCCAUGAUUACAACAGGGCACAAUGA
Molecule: ribosomal RNA, 546 nt
Filed under: Triticum aestivum (bread wheat)
Lineage: Eukaryota; Viridiplantae; Streptophyta; Magnoliopsida; Poales; Poaceae
Description: partial small subunit ribosomal RNA
Source: RNAcentral